This 1279-nucleotide long non-coding RNA is filed under the name Danio rerio (zebrafish). Its description in RNAcentral is "si:dkey-174e10.3 (ENSDARG00000098277.2)". The record is from RNAcentral. Lineage: Eukaryota; Metazoa; Chordata; Actinopteri; Cypriniformes; Danionidae.
CAAUGGGCUAUAUGCACGCAUUACUUCCGCGUUUUGUCUAAGGCCGCGGUCCAGUUUCCGGUCCGGGUGAUUUUAAGCAGAGGUAAACAGUAUUAUGGCAGAGUCGUCAAUAUUUACCUGAUAUUUACUCGCUGUUUGCGAGUAAAUUAUGGUCAACGAUGUGCAAAUGAUUUUCCGGAUGUGCACUACAACACCGCAGAGCAAACUUGAGAAAGGUUUCAAGUUUUAUGCGUCUUCCUACCUGUGCAAUUAUGAAGGUAACAUUAUGAGAUUCAGAGCUAGAAAAGUUUGUGUGUUACUCUAUCCUGGAGCGGACAUCUGUCAGAAAAUCCAUGCCAUCGUCUGCUAGUUAAUAGCUUCUGCUCUUGUGUGGCUGAGAGUGGGAUAUGCAAACAUUUGGUUGCUUUGCUUUUCCAGACAGCCCAUUACUCUGAAAUGUGUAAUUGGUGUUGUCACAUGAACAAUUGUUUGGCAUGGAUCAAUUAUGUGUUAAGUUCCAUGAAACAGAGGGGUGAUUUAUUUAUUUAUUUAAUACAUAACAGCCCAAAUACCUCUCUAUGCACAAGUUAAAGAAGCACCUGAUUCAAGAAAACAACUGAUUCAAUGUUAUUGUUUCUGUUCAUCUGAAUAAAAUAUUUUUUCACAAUUGUACUUUUUUUGACAAUUUUUAUUUCAAAUUAUAUACAGUGAUUUAUAUUUUAUAUGUACAGUGAAUAAAAUAAAGGUCUUUAUUCUGAAUUAAAAAAUAGCACUUAGAAAGUAGCUUAAGAAAUGGUAAUGUAUAUUAAUGUUCAGUUUUUUUUUUACUUCAAAGGCAAUGAAAACAAACUAUUAUUUGCCAUAAAAGCUCCUUUCUUUAAAUGUCUGCAUCCGGUUGGCACUCGAGCCUCGAUCAGUUUGCUAGACUGAAAAUGUCAGCUACACUUUUGUCUUUUUCUGUUUCUGUAAAAUUCUCACGUUUAAUAUCAACAACCCACCUCUUCUGUACGACUUUGUCUUUUGGAAACGUGUGGAAACUAAGGUAAGAGUUCAAUUUCUGACGCUGUGUGUUGCUGAACACAGCAGUGGUAGCUAUAUUUGUCAUAUUUAUGUAGCUGACAUAAACGUAUAUAAGUGGGCUAUAAUGGCAUAAAACAUUAAGACAACUGUCCAAAACAUUACUUGUUUUUAUCAGUAGCGCUCCUGUUGUAGCACUGUAAUGUACGAUCGGCGGAAGUUGGCUCGGGGUCUUAAAUUUUACCGGAAAUGCGUCACGCGCCGCCGUGCAUAGAGCCCAGUA